RNAcentral lists this ribosomal RNA (530 nucleotides) under uncultured bacterium. Its description in RNAcentral is "bacterial SSU rRNA". It matches the Rfam family "Bacterial small subunit ribosomal RNA", at positions 1 to 529 of the family's 1533-position model. The record is from RNAcentral.
UAGAGUUUGAUCCUGGCUCAGGAUGAACGCUAGCGGCAGGCUUAAUACAUGCAAGUCGUGGGGCAGCACAGGUAGCAAUACUGGGUGGCGACCGGCAAACGGGUGAGGAACAUGUACGCAACCUUCCUUUAACUGGAGAAUAGCCCCUCGAAAGAGGGAUUAAUACUCCGUAACAUUUCGACACAGCAUUGUGAUGAAAUUAUAGCUCCGGCGGUUAAAGAUGGGCGUGCACCUGAUUAGAUAGUUGGCGGGGUAACGGCCCACCAAGUCUGCGAUCAGUAACUGGUGUGAGAGCACGACCAGUCACACGGGCACUGAGACACGGGUCCGACUCCUACGGGAGGCAGCAGUAAGGAAUAUUGGUCAAUGGACGCAAGUCUGAACCAGCCAUGCCGCGUGGAGGAUUAAGGCCCUCUGGGUUGUAAACUCCUUUUAUCUGGGAAGAAAUGUACUUUUUCUUGAGUACUUGACGGUACCAGAGGAAUAAGCACCGGCUAACUCCGUGCCAGCAGCCGCGGUACCCAAUCGCC